This 110-nucleotide ribosomal RNA is filed under the name Bacillus sp. BD59S. The record is from RNAcentral. Lineage: Bacteria; Bacillati; Bacillota; Bacilli; Caryophanales; Bacillaceae.
UCUGGUAAUGAUGGCAGAGAGGUCACACCCGUUCCCAUACCGAACACGGAAGUUAAGCUCUCUACGAGCGAUAUAAUGUCUAUAUCUUCUUUAAGUUCUUGUUUCUCUAU